This 757-nucleotide long non-coding RNA is filed under the name Triticum aestivum (bread wheat). Its description in RNAcentral is "long non-coding RNA (TAES_LNC008480)". The record is from RNAcentral. Lineage: Eukaryota; Viridiplantae; Streptophyta; Magnoliopsida; Poales; Poaceae.
GCCAAAUUUUUUGAUAUCAUGAACCCGUACUACAGUGGUGAUACAUUUCUACCAACAAUUAGUGCUGUUAUCUACAACUUCAAGGUUUUGUUUGCUGCUACAUACGGAAAUUCUAGUUCUUUUAGCAUAUGAAAUUUUGAAUCAAGAUUUGUACCAGCUCCCAAGGUCAAUUUCAGGUGGGUUUUCCAUGGAAAUCUCCCAUUUUAGAAGAUUUGUACCAGUCACCAGCAACUUUUUGGUUCUUUCUCCUAAAAAAGCAGAUUAAAAGUAUUUUAAAUUCACAAUAAUUUCCAUCCUAAGUAUGGAACUGAUUGUGGUAUUAUUUUUCUUUCACAUGUAUGACUCAGGAAUUUUCCUUCUUCAGUAUGUUAGCAAGUACAAAGGUCUCGGUUUGGAGGGUUUCUCUAAUGUAAGCGAUAGACAUAUGUUUCCUUUUUUGGUCAUUAAUUGGAACAUAUUAGGAAUUAAACAACACUUUCUCUAAAAUACUGUAGGAUGAUUUACAUGCUCUACUUCAACAAUUCCUUUUUGAGAUUGUAACUUGCAAGGACAAUGAAAUUCAGCUCCCGUUAGUAACUUCUUUCCUGCAGAGACAUGUAAGUUUUAUUUGUCUCCCAAUGACAGAAAAUAGAUGUUUUUUUCUUAGAGCCUGCUCUUUCAUAUCGAACAGUGAAAUUAUUUUCUUCUAAUCCCGCAUAUGUUUCAACAGGGUUUCCGCAUAUUCCAGUGAAGCUUUGAAGGCCAAUCUUUACUCGUU